This 480-nucleotide ribosomal RNA is filed under the name uncultured bacterium. Its description in RNAcentral is "bacterial SSU rRNA". It matches the Rfam family "Bacterial small subunit ribosomal RNA", at positions 29 to 526 of the family's 1533-position model. The record is from RNAcentral.
AAUGAACGUUGGCGGCGUGGAUUAGGCAUGCAAGUCGUACGGGAGUAGCAAUACUCUAGUGGCGAAAGGGAUAGUACAAUAUAGAUCAUCUGCCCCCGGGACGUGGAUAUACGAGGGAAACUUCGGGUAAUACACGAUAACAUCCCCGGAUCAAAGGUGAGAUUCCGCCGGGGGACGGGUCUGCGUCCUACUAGCUAGUUGGUGAGGUAACGGCUCACCAAGGCGACGAUGGGUACCGGGCGUCAGAGCGUGACCCGGAUCACUGGGACUGAGACACUGCCCAGACACCUACGGGUGGCUGCAGUCGAGAAUCUUCGGCAAUGGACGAAAGUCUGACCGAGCGACGCCGCGUGCGGGACGAAGGCCUUCGGGUUGUAAACCGCUGUCAAGUUGGAGGAAAUGCGUGGGGGUCAUCCCCUGCGUUUGACCGAUAGCAAAAGGAAGGACGGGCUAAGUUCGUGCCAGCCGCCGCAGUAACAC